UUAUGUUUGUUACCUCGUCGUGGAUGUCGCGUGCAGUGUUUGUUUUUUACUUAAUUAGAAACUCGGAGAGGAUGGAUCCAGUGUGUAGAGGCAGCAACAGCGAAGCAGUUCGUGAGGAUUGCCAACGCACUGAAAUCCGUGGGGUUUGUUCGCUCUGCUAUAUAAUGCAACGACGAUGCCGGGGGAGCGCACCGGGGUAUCUUCCUGAUCGACCUCUCCUUGCCUGCACUUUGCGGAGGUUACAGGAUCAUGCCACAACGUGCUGAUAGGACCAUUGCAGUGCAUGUUCUGACAAAGGACUUGGAAGGUGCCUGAUCUGUAAGCCACAUUCCGUAGGAAGAGGUCCUCCGUCGCAAGGGGUCGAAAGGCUGCUUCUUCUUCCGUGGAGGAUUUCGCCACGUUGGGGGGAGGGUAAUUGGUUUUUGUGUGCUCGAUUUUGUGCUCGAUUUGUGCAUGCAUCAACGUCAUCGGGAUCGGAACUGUACUGGAGUCAGUAGGUGUUCCUUCACCCCAUGGUUCUGGAAGAGAGGGGUUUGGGUGAGUUUUUGUGGCGGAGAGGGUUUAGGAGAUAUUCGACGGGAGGGAGCUGUAUCCUGUUCCGGGUAAACCUCAGUUUUCAGGGUUAUUUGGGUGAUGGAUUGAAUUCAACGCCAAUUACUUGUAGGUGUCGGUUGCCUGAUUUCACAGUAGUUGGAAUUUGGAUUUGGGUUGAAGAUGCUGAACUCCUUCUGGUUUUGAAAUCCUGGAACGGAGUUAGGUAAAAAAUUUAGUUUCUGCAACUUUUGGUGCGAGGUUCCAAGCAUAUACGUGUGCUUGCUUGUUUGUCACUCUGGAAGUACUGCUCAGUUAGACUUGGUCAAACCACGAUUUGUUGUCGCUAGCUCACUCUUGCGCCUGCACCUGUAUUGUCUCCCAUCUACAUUGUGGGCUAACUGAGAACUUAGACGUAACUGAGCAGCAGGACUUUAAGUAUCUUUCCAGAUUCGAGUGAUCGAAGGGAGAGUUUUGGAACCAUGUAGGCUUCCAAGUCAAUUGGACAAUUGUAAUUGGGCUCGAAGAGUAAGAAGGAAGGUAAUUCUCAUCGAUGGAGAGUAAGGCGGAAGGAGCUACAAAUCGUGUCCAGCCUUGCAUUCUCUACCGAAACUUUAGGAAUCCUUCACGAGGAAAAUUCCUGUUCAUUCUUCCAUUCUCUCAGCCGUGAGCGUGCUGGACCCAGAAUUGCGAACAUGACUUGGACGGGAAAGUGUUGAAGGGAGCGCCAAGAGAGGGCAAUGGGGAGGAAACCAUGCUGCGAAAAAGUAGGGCUCAAGAGAGGGCCAUGGGCUGCAGACGAAGACAAAAAACUUGUCUCCUACAUCAACGCCCAUGGGGUUUCCUGUUGGCGUGCCAUUCCCAAGCUAGCAGGUUUGCUGCGAUGCGGCAAGAGUUGCCGACUUCGCUGGACGAAUUAUCUGAGGCCUGAUUUGAAACGUGGAGGCUUCACUGACGCAGAAGAGAACUUAAUCCUUGACCUUCAUGCUACCCUUGGCAACCGGUGGUCAAAGAUUGCGAUGCAGCUUCCUGGACGCACAGAUAACGAGAUAAAAAAUUACUGGAAUACGCACUUGAAGAAGAAGCUUUGCAGCAUGGGCUUGGAUCCCGUUACACACAAGCCUGUCGAUUCAGCCUGCACCGAUGGUGACACAGAGACCGCCGACGAAGGUAAUCUUGAUUCCUCCGAGGGCCACUCAGGCCACUCUAAGGUGAUGGAGAAUUCUCUGGCCUCAAAAGUUUCGGACGAAUUGGCACAAUUAAAGACCAUCGACUACCUCGGUGAGAGAAUGGAUACUCAAAAGCCAUUUCCGACCACCUGCAACGAGAUUCCCGAGCAGGGUGCCAUCAGUGGCAAGUCUUGCAGCUUAGAUACCACCAAUUCGUUCAAGGAGCACAAACCUGAUGUAUUCGUCAAGCUUGAAGAAGGGACAUAUACUACCGGGCCUGAUCAUAUGAAUGCCAUCGCACUUGAGAAUCACACUCCUCUAGGCCCAAAUUCUGAAGGUGCUGCGGAUUCUUGCUGGUUGCCUCAGGAGCAGUCUCUAGAUACUGCAGUUGGUGGCAGUUCAUUUUACCAGGAGGUUGCUGUAAUGAACGGCGGAGGUUUGUUUCGUCAGCUUUCGGGGUUCACCCAAUCCAACAUGGCUACAGCAGGUUGGUCGACAUACUUUGGAGAGACACCGGGUCAACCUUCCUCUACUGGAUGCAGCAUCUCUUCGUGGAACCAAUCCUUUGUGCAACCACCAGGAGUUCCACCGUCUAAGGAGAUUCAGAAGCUAGCUGCCAUCCUGGACCAGAUUUAACCCCUGGCCAAAUAUUGGACCUGGCUUACUCCAGUUGAGUAUUUGCGUGCAUGCAUGACCACAAUGACCUGCUCGAGUGGUUUCGUGCCAUGGCUCCGCAUCUGCUCUGCAAAAGCUGUGCUUGGCCUGCUCUGGUCUAUCGGAAGCGACAUAUUUCAGCAGGCGACAGCACUGCGUCUUGCUUGGGAGUGAUGAUCCACAGGCUUUACAGCAUGCGAUGCGAUGCUGGAGAUUGAUGAUCUAAUGCUGUUGUGCUGGCUCCAUGUCUGUUGUCCGAGUGAAUGUCAACAUGGCAGGAUCAUAGCGUAAAUUUGCUCGAUCGUCAUGGCUUCAUUCUCGAAGUGCACAUGACUGCAAUCGCUGUCAAGAACACCCAAGCGCAAGGUUCCUCAACGAAAUUCAGUGCACCCUUUUAAAGCUGCUUCAAAUAUACUGACAUCUCUGCACACUCUGAUGGGCACUACAUCUCCUCUACAGACUAGCGCUACAAUUCCUAGCCACCUAAUUCCGACGAGGAUGUGAAAAACUAGCUGCCUUGUGUACAGAUUCAAGUCCAGCUUCAAGACGGAUUCAACUGUUUUUACCGAUGUAUUACAAGCUGCCUGCGAUAUCGUCGACUGGCCUUCUACUGUACAGAUAAAGUGGUUGUUCCGAUAUUUGUACUAGUUUCGGUGGACUGUUAUUUUGGAUCAUAUUUUCUAGAUAUUUGGCUUGUGAUUAGAACGGGGGUGUCGUUUCGACUGCAUUAUGACCAAGUUACAUGUGGUACGAAUAAAAAUCAGAUCCUCAGCCGCAAUUCAAACCCCUGUGGUGGUUCAUUGUUCCUUUCAGCAGAAGUUUCGAAACCUGAAAUGUACAUUUUGAAUCAUAUUCCAUGUAUGGUGAUGGAAAUAGUGUGACUUUGUUAAUCAUAUUUGCCGAAAGCUUCUUUUGCUAGGGUUUGGACAUUGGUGCAAAAUUUUUGAUUAGACUUGGGUAAGAUUUUUUGAUUUUAGAUAUUAAACAUCAACAACAAAUCUCAUCAAAUGUGAUGAGAAUGUUUAUUGGUGCAUGUAGUGGUCAAAACAUUGUUUAGAGAUAAAAAUAUUUAGUGUAUAAAUCAAAGUUAUGUUAAUGUUAGUGUGUUUAAAGAU
Physcomitrium patens is the source of this 3469-nucleotide non-coding RNA. The record is from RefSeq and is a predicted model, not a curated record. Lineage: Eukaryota; Viridiplantae; Streptophyta; Bryopsida; Funariales; Funariaceae.